UGGGGUAUAGUUCAGUGGCAGAACACUUGCCUAGUAUUCAAGAGGCCUUGGAUUUGAUCUUCAGCACCUCAA
Molecule: transfer RNA, 72 nt
Filed under: Fukomys damarensis (Damara mole-rat)
Lineage: Eukaryota; Metazoa; Chordata; Mammalia; Rodentia; Bathyergidae
Rfam family: tRNA
About the family: Transfer RNA (tRNA) molecules are approximately 80 nucleotides in length. Their secondary structure includes four short double-helical elements and three loops (D, anti-codon, and T loops).
Source: Rfam by way of RNAcentral